Molecule: transfer RNA, 21 nt
Filed under: Rhinopithecus bieti (black snub-nosed monkey)
Lineage: Eukaryota; Metazoa; Chordata; Mammalia; Primates; Cercopithecidae
Also listed under: 1 other name
Description: partial tRNA
Source: RNAcentral
UAUUCAACUAUAAAAACACCA